GAGGAAAAGAAACCAACAGGGAUUGCCCUAGUAACGGCGAGUGAAGCGGCAACAGCUCAAAUUUGAAAUCUGGCUUCGGCCCGAGUUGUAAUUUGCAGAGGAUGCUUUUGGUGCGGUGCCUUCCGAGUUCCCUGGAACGGGACGCCACAGAGGGUGAGAGCCCCGUAUGGUCGGACACCAAUCCUGUGUAAAGCUCCUUCGACGAGUCGAGUAGUUUGGGAAUGCUGCUCUAAAUGGGAGGUAAAUCUCUUCUAAAGCUAAAUACCGGCCAGAGACCGAUAGCGCACAAGUAGAGUGAUCGAAAGAUGAAAAGCACCUUGAAAAGGGGGUUAAACAGUACGUGAAAUUGUUGAAAGGGAAGCACUUGUGACCAGACUUGGGCCGGGCGGCUCAUCAGGGGUUCUCCCCUGUGCAUUCCGCCCGGUACAGGCCAGCAUCGGUUCUUACCGGGGGAUAAGAACGGCAGGAACGUGGCUCCCUCUCGGGGGAGUGUUAUAGCCUGCCGUACGAUACCCUGGGCGGGGACCGAGGUUCGCGCUUCCGCAA
This 546-nucleotide ribosomal RNA is filed under the name Tubakia sp. PQA04. Its description in RNAcentral is "eukaryotic LSU rRNA". It matches the Rfam family "Eukaryotic large subunit ribosomal RNA", at positions 53 to 620 of the family's 3401-position model. Lineage: Eukaryota; Fungi; Ascomycota; Sordariomycetes; Diaporthales; Tubakiaceae. The record is from RNAcentral.